GCACUGCUGAAGAGUCCGAAACAGGAUGAAACAGCUGUCCAAUGC
This 45-nucleotide non-coding RNA is filed under the name Echinostoma caproni. The record is from RNAcentral. Lineage: Eukaryota; Metazoa; Platyhelminthes; Trematoda; Plagiorchiida; Echinostomatidae.